CAGCCGCCGCGGUAAUACGAAGGGGGCUAGCGUUGUUCGGAUUUACUGGGCGUAAAGGGCGCGUAGGCGGACUGAUAAGUCAGGGGUGAAAUCCCAAGGCUCAACCUUGGAACUGCCUUUGAUACUGUUUGUCUUGAGUUCGAAAGAGGUAAGUGGAACUGCGAGUGUAGAGGUGAAAUUCGUAGAUAUUCGCAAGAACACCAGUGGCGAAGGCGGCUUACUGGCUCGAAACUGACGCUGAGGCGCGAAAGCGUGGGGAGCAAACAGGAUUAGAUACCCCAGUAGUCCCUGUCUCUUAUAC
RNAcentral lists this ribosomal RNA (301 nucleotides) under uncultured bacterium. RNAcentral describes it as "partial 16S ribosomal RNA". It matches the Rfam family "Bacterial small subunit ribosomal RNA", at positions 509 to 807 of the family's 1533-position model. The record is from RNAcentral.